Poecilia reticulata (guppy) is the source of this 923-nucleotide non-coding RNA. The record is from RefSeq and is a predicted model, not a curated record. Lineage: Eukaryota; Metazoa; Chordata; Actinopteri; Cyprinodontiformes; Poeciliidae.
ACUUUGAGCUCUCAGGACAGACAACAGGCUACAUUGCUGCUGGUGUGUCAAAUGCUGCAAUUCAGACUGCCAAUUUCAGAGCCUACGUCUGCGCUAACCAUAACGGUGCUGUCCGUUUCUUCACUGGCUUCAUCAACAAUCUGGUUUUAAAUCUCACAGGGACGCUGGACUCAAGCAAUGAGCGGGGAUCGGUCAACUCAGGCAAAAUCCAGUGUACAUUUUCAGCUGUUCUACCUGACACAAUUACACGAGCAGCAGAUUAUGCUUUGUCUAUUACAACUGGACCUUACAAUGCCAGUUCUGGGCAGCCAGGAACAGCAAGCCUCAGAAUACUAACGCCUGUCRUAAGCCUCUCCGACCCGACCGCCAACGCCACCAAUUUGCUGAGCAACAGCACUAACAGCACUUCGUCUGCUUACCCGGUCACACACACACAGUCAUUCUUGCCAGUUCUGCUGGUCACCGUGAUAAUGCUGGCUUUCACAGCUGUAUGAAGCAACUGACCUCCACCACUACACUAUAGGAAAAAAACAGACUUUUUCAAGAGUCCCAAAGCAAGUUGCCAUGAUUUUCACCAGCAUGUCUCAUCAUUCAUAACAGCUUUUUGGUUUAAAGGUCUGGUUACCUUUCUAGUCCAUUUUACUGGUGCAUGUUGAAAACUUCUAAUCUGACUUUUCACUUGAUGUAAUUUAAUUCUAUGUUGUAAUUGUGGUGUUAUUAGCUGCUCCUAAAUUAUGAAGUCUUUACUGAUGUGAAUGGGCAUGUUGAUACAAGUGGAAUCUAAAUGUGGUACCAAUUGUUGGUGAAGGUAAUUUAAACAUUUCCACAAAUUAAUAAAUAUUUUAGUGUAUAUAUACAUAUAUAUAUUCCCCUUUGUCAUCUUAUUUGCACAAGCUUUAAAUAAAUAUGUCUUUCUUAAGGAA